Molecule: unclassified non-coding RNA, 520 nt
Filed under: uncultured Glomus
Lineage: Eukaryota; Fungi; Glomeromycota; Glomeromycetes; Glomerales; Glomeraceae
Description: SSU rRNA
Rfam family: Eukaryotic small subunit ribosomal RNA
Source: RNAcentral
AGCAGCCGCGGUAAUUCCAGCUCCAAUAGCGUAUAUUAAAGUUGUUGCAGUUAAAAAGCUCGUAGUUGAAUUUCGGGAUCAAUACGUCGGUCGUGCUUCGGUACGUACUGGCGUAAUUGAUUUCUCCCUUCUGACGAACCAUGAUGUCAUUAACUUGGUGUCAUGGGAAAUCAGGACUGUUACUUUGAAAAAUUAGAGUGUUUAAAGCAGGCUCACGCUUGAAUACAUUAGCAUGGAAUAAUGAAAUAGGACGUUCGAUCCUAUUUUGUUGGUUUUUAGGAUCAACGUAAUGAUUAAUAGGGAUAGUUGGGGGCAUUAGUAUUCAAUUGUCAGAGGUGAAAUUCUUGGAUUUAUUGAAGACUAACUACUGCGAAAGCAUUUGCCAAGGAUGUUUUCAUUAAUCUAAGAACGAAAGUUAGGGGAUCGAAGACGAUCAGAUACCGUCGUAGUCUUAACCAUAAACUAUGCCGACUACGGGAUCGGAUGAUGUUAAUUUUUAAUGUACUCAUUCCGGCGCCCU